GAGCCCUUGUGCUUCCAGGCCAUCGUGUCCCUCGAUCUAGAUCCAGAUAACGAAAUGGAUAGAAUGCGAGCUAAAUGCACAUCAUCAACAAUAUUACGAACCAAUUCCUUAUUCUAGGUAUUAUUUUCAGCUUCGAUUAACUGAUCGAUGUUAUGUCCUGAUAUUCUGUUAUUUUUAACCCUAGGAAGCCAAGGGGUAUUCCAGAUGUUAACGCUAGCUCCAUUGCCAACUCGCCAUAAAAUCCCAUCUUCAAUUAGAUCCCGAGCACUGUAGAUGCUCCUUCAGGUAAAUGAUGGGUAAAAUCCUAUGUUUGCUGAUAGUAUAUCUGAAUGGGGAUAAUAACGGGCUUUAAGAACUUUUGCUAACAAACAAUUGGGCUGGGAUAAAAGACGCCAGAUUUGUUUUGCUAAUAAAGUUUUAUUAAACAAAAUCAAAUUUUUGAAACCCAGCCCACCAUCACUUUUUGGAUGACACAAAAUGUCCCAAUUACUCCAGUGAAUGCCCUUAGAUGAUUUAUUAUUAGAGCACCAGAACUUGUUCAUGAGACCUUCAAGUUUACAACAUAAAAUUUUCGGAAAAGCAAAAUAUUGCAUGACGUAAACCGAAAUAGCUUGCAAAACUAACUUAACAAAUACUUCUUUCCCUCCCAUUGAUAAGUAACGUAGACUCCAAACUGCGAUACAUUUUCUAAAUUGAUCGAUAAAAUUGGCAAAAGCCCAAACCUUCUUUCGUCUAACCAUCAUAGGCAACCCUAAGUAUUUCUCAGUAUUUGAUGCUACCCUCACACCCAAGACAUUAGUUAUGGUAUCUUUGACAUCUGCAUCCACAUUAGCCUUAAAAUAGAUUAGUGAUUUAUCAAAAUUGACCCUCUGACCCGAAAGUAUCUCAUACUACUUAAUAAUAUCUCUAACCACUUUGGUUCCCUCAUUUGAAGUAUCUCCAAAAAGAAUACAGUCGUCCGUAAAUAAUAAGUGGUUAUAAAAAAUCUUUCCUUUCCAACAGAAGCAUCCCUCAUAAACCCUUUUUGUUUUGCUUCAUUAAUAAGGGUUGAGAAACCCUUUGCACAAAUAAUAAAAAGAUAAGGGCUAAGUGGAUCACCCUGUCUUAAACCUUUUGAAGGUGAGAACCACUCACUGUUUGAACUAUUGGGGCUUAUAGAAUAGGAAACUGAACAAACACAUCUCAUUAUAAGAACAAUCCAAUCCAUAGAAAACCCUAAAUGAGUCAUCAUUCCUGUCAAGAAAUCCCAUUCAACAAGAUCAUACGUUUUACUCAUAUCGAGUUUAAGCGCAAAAUUCCCAUUCUUUCCUUUUGUCUUCAUUUUCAUCGAGUGAAGGACCUCAUAAGCAAUAAGUACAUUAUCCGAAAUAUGUCUUCCUGGGAUAAAAGCUCCUUAGGCUUCAUUAAUGCAAUUUCCUAAAAUAGCACUAAUACGAUUCACCAAGACUUUUGCGAUAAUUUUAUGAACUAUGUUACAAAGACUUAUAGGUCUAAAAUGUGAAAGAUUCUUUGGUUUAUCAACUUUAGGGAUCAAAACUAUACAGGUUUUAUUAAUAGCUUCAAUUUCAGAAUCUCCAUUUAGAACAGAUAAAAAAUAGCAAGAAAUUUCAGAACCAAUAAGAUGCCAGUACCUUUGGAAGAAAAUUGCUGAGAAUCUAUCAAUGCCAGGAACUUUCAACGGCACAAUUGUCUUAACAGCAUAUGUGAUAUCCUCCUCUAUAAAUCGUUUAAGUAAGAGAGCAUUCAUAUCAUCAGUGACUCUUUUCUCUAUUAACCCAAAAACACAUUUAUCUGAGCUCAUAUCUGGAGCCGAAAAUAAAUCCCCAAAAAAAUUCAAAGCAAGUUUAAGCAUCUCCUCAGUCGUGGAAAUCCUUUUGCCAUUUGCCUCCUUUAAUUCUUUGAUUCGUCCAUGUAAUUGACAUUGAACAACUACUUGAUGAAAAUAACUUGUGUUUCUGUCUCCAUUUUUCAGCCAGUUGACUCGGGUCCGUUGUUCCCCAAAAAAUUAUUUUUGGUCAGCCUCUAAAUUAAGGCCCAAUUGAAUAUCUGUGAUUUUAACAAGUAUCUCAUCUGUUGGAUCCUGGUUAUAAAGACAGUUUAGUUUACCUUCAAGAUUUGUACGUUUUUUCUUCUGCUCUCUAAUUCUGAGUCUACUCCAUACCUGAAUCUGCUGUCCCAACUUCACAAGCUUAUCCGGAACACUUCUCGAAAUAUUCUCUCAGUUUCUUUUAAUCUCCUCCUCAAAAUAAUAUUCUAAAACCCAUUUUGCCUCAGAACAAAAAGGAUUUUUGCCAUAAAACGGAAUAUGCUUUUGUCUUCUCAUGGUGUCCAGUAGAAUCGGACAAUGGUCUGAGAAAGAGUGGGUCGGAUGUUCUAAUUGAUAAUUAGGACAAAUAUUAAUCCAACUCAACGAUGCAACACCUAGAUCCAGCCUCUCCCUUAUGUUGGUUGACAAAAACCUUCCUUGUUCCCAUGUAAACCAUCUACCAACAUAACCUCAAUCAUUGAGUCUGCAAUCUUCCAGUGUCAUUCUAAAGUCUUGCAUCUGACGUUUAGCUCUAAGCCUCCCACCCUUCUUUUCCAAAGAGCUCGUGAUUUCAUUAAAAUCCCCAGCAAUCCAAUGAGUCAUUUGGUCCUGCCCCAAUCGUCGAAAUAGAUCCCAGAACUCUCUCCUGUUUCUUUCAUCCGGAUUCUCAUAAAAACCUAUCAAAUGCCAAGCUUCAUGAAUUUAAUUAUCGUGCACCUCAACAUCAAUAUGGGAGGAAGAAAAACUCUUUAGCUGGAUUAAAGAAUUUCCUUUCUAACCCAAAUAUAGACCUCUUUUUAAGCUUAAGUGUAACAACUUGAUUUUGGGCCUAGUCAGAAUAGUAGUUUCGAAACCACAAAUCCAGAGUCAGAGAAAUUAUUUUAAAAUUUAUUUUAUGUGUUGUGGCAUGAUAAUACGAGUGCAUGAGAAUUUUGGUGGAUUAAUUUUAGCGAUUGCGUGCUUAAUUGUGAAAAAGGACUAAAUCGCAUAAAGUGCAAAAGUCCUAUUUUGAUAGCUAAGGGUGUCAAAUAGUUAGAGAACCAAAAUUGGGGGUCUUUAAAGGGAAAAUAGACCCUUAAAAUAGAGGUGGCCGGUAAUAGGGAUAAUAGGGAUGAGAAAGACAAAGUUAGGUGGGCUAAAUUGAAUAAAAUAAAACAUAAGAAAAAGGCUAUCAUCUUUUUUUGUUUUGCUCCUUCUUCUCCACCGAUUUUACUCCAAGAAAAUUACCAUGGAAGCUUGAAAAAUUUCAGCAACUUAAAGCCUUUUCAAGUAAGUGGUUUUGAGGGCUUUUCUUGAAUAUUUUUUGUACUUUUGAGAUCAUUAUAGCAUGAGCUUUCUAACAAAGGGACUAUUUUACAAAAUGGUUGAAAGUAUAAGUUUUUUCCAUGAUAGUAGACAUGUUGAUUUCUAAAAUUUUAUGGAAGAAUAUGAGUUAUGGUUGUGAAAUAAACAACUUUUGUGAAGUAGUUUUCAUGGAAACCCUAACCAAGGACCAUUUUGCAUAAGUUGUGAAAUAGAUGUUACAUGUGUGUAAUAUUGAGAAUUUUGGGCUGCUUUUAGUAUAAAAAGUAUUCGGCUAGACUUGGUUAAUGAGAAAAUGUGAUAAAAAUUGAUUUUCGGACAUAUGGGCAAAAUGGUCAUUUUACCCAAUUAUGAAUUUUCGAGUGUCUAGAUUAAUAUGCUGAUGAAAUGAAUGAAUUUCUAUCAUUUUAGAUCAAGAGUUACAAAAUUUGGGCCUAGACCGGGGAAAAACAAAGCUAGUAGACUAAACCGAACUAGUCGCCUACAUUUUGUAUACCGAGGUUAGUUGUAUGUAAAUAAUACAACUACAUUGUAUUAUAUGUGUUUGAAUUAAUAUAACAUGAGUUGCUUGAUUGUGGAAAUGAUGAUGUAUGAUGAUAAUUGAGAUAGUAGAACUCCGUUUGAACCUUAGGAAAUAAAUCGGAUAUUCAUGCCAUGACAUUCGGGUAAUUGUGUGCUAGUGUAAGACAUGUCUAGGACAUGCAUCAGCCACAUUAUGAGAGCCAGUGUAAGACCAUGUAUGGGGCAUAACAUCGGCAUUGAGACAAGAGCUAGUGUAAGACAUGUCUGGGACAUACAUCGGCUACAAGAUGUGUCAGUGUAAGACCAUAUCUGGGACAUGGCAUCAGCACGUAUAGAGGUGUCAGUGUAAGACCAUGUCUGGGACAUGGCAUCGGUACGAAUAUGUGAGAGCUAGUGUAAGACCAUGUCUGGGACAUGGUGUCGGCCUUGGUUUCGAUAGUCAGUGUAAGACCAUGUCUGGGACAUGGUAUCAACUUCAUGGACGAGCCAGUGUAAGACCAUGUCUAGGACAUGGCAUUGGCAUUAUACCUUAUGUUUGAGACUUAGUGAAUAUCUGAUAGCAUUCCAAAUGGUUCAACGGUGAGAAUUACAGUUUAAGUGAAAUGAGAAGAGUAUAACCAUGUUGUGAGUGGUACAGGUACCUAUUUGAAAUGUAUGAGAUGUGAGCUCAAUAUAUGCUAUGUGAAUUGUAUUGGAUAAUAAUGAGUAAGUUGUGCUUAUGCCUACUUUUGUAUUAUGAGAAUGAUGAUGAAUGGUAAAGUUGUUAUAUUUAUUUGCAUGCAACUUACUAAGCUUUAUGCUUACUCCCUCUCCUUUCCAUUUUCUUAUAGUGCCGCCUAAUUAGCUCGAAGAUCAUCAGACAUCGAAGGCAUCGAUCAUACUAUCAACCGAAGCACUUGGUAUAGUUGGUUUUAUUAUUUUGAGUAUGGCAUGUAUAGGGCCUAGACUUUUGAGUUUUGUGUCAAUGUUAAUUUAGUAAAGGUGUUAGCUUGGCAUGAAUCUCUUAGUUUUGUAUAAAGCCUUGGAUAAUGGCUAAUAUUCAUUAUUGAUAUAUGCAAAUGAUGAUAUUUUCAUGAAUGAUUUAAUGCCUUGUGUGGCUGAUUA
This 4954-nucleotide long non-coding RNA is filed under the name Gossypium barbadense (sea-island cotton). RNAcentral describes it as "long non-coding RNA (GBAR_LNC011218)". The record is from RNAcentral. Lineage: Eukaryota; Viridiplantae; Streptophyta; Magnoliopsida; Malvales; Malvaceae.